GGACUACAGGGGUUUCUAAUCCCGUUUGCUCCCCUGGCUUUCGCGCCUCAGCGUCAGAAGUGGGCCAGGAAGUCGCUUUCGCCAUUGGUGUUCUUCCCGAUAUCUACGCAUUUCACUGCUACACCGGGAAUUCCACUUCCCUCUCCCACCCUCGAGCCUCGCAGUAUCAGCUGCCCUGCUUCGGUUGAGCCGACGCCUUUCACAGCUGACUGACGAAACCGCCUACACGCCCUUUACGCCCAGUAAAUCCGGACAACGCUUGCCACCUCUGUCUUACCGCGGCUGCUGGCAC
This 292-nucleotide ribosomal RNA is filed under the name uncultured bacterium. RNAcentral's name for it is "partial 16S ribosomal RNA". The record is from RNAcentral.